RNAcentral lists this ribosomal RNA (924 nucleotides) under uncultured bacterium. RNAcentral's name for it is "bacterial SSU rRNA". It matches the Rfam family "Bacterial small subunit ribosomal RNA", at positions 1 to 917 of the family's 1533-position model. The record is from RNAcentral. RNAcentral also lists the same sequence under 1 other name.
UGGAUCCAGACUUUGAUCCUGGCUCAGGAUGAACGCUAGCUACAGGCUUAACACAUGCAAGUCGAGGGGCAGCGGGAUUGAAGCUUGCUUCAAUUGCCGGCGACCGGCGCACGGGUGAGUAACGCGUAUCCAACCUUCCGUACACUCAGGGAUAGCCUUUCGAAAGAAAGAUUAAUACCUGAUGGUAUGAUGAGAUUGCAUGAUAGCAUCAUUAAAGAUUUAUCGGUGUACGAUGGGGAUGCGUUCCAUUAGGUAGUAGGCGGGGUAACGGCCCACCUAGCCAACGAUGGAUAGGGGUUCUGAGAGGAAGGUCCCCCACAUUGGAACUGAGACACGGUCCAAACUCCUACGGGAGGCAGCAGUGAGGAAUAUUGGUCAAUGGACGAGAGUCUGAACCAGCCAAGUAGCGUGAAGGAUGAAGGUCCUACGGAUUGUAAACUUCUUUUAUAAGGGAAUAAACCCUCCCACGUGUGGGAGCUUGUAUGUACCUUAUGAAUAAGCAUCGGCUAACUCCGUGCCAGCAGCCGCGGUAAUACGGAGGAUGCGAGCGUUAUCCGGAUUUAUUGGGUUUAAAGGGAGCGCAGACGGGUCGUUAAGUCAGCUGUGAAAGUUUGGGGCUCAACCUUAAAAUUGCAGUUGAUACUGGCGUCCUUGAGUGCGGUUGAGGUGUGCGGAAUUCGUGGUGUAGCGGCGAAAUGCUUAGAUAUCACGAAGAACUCCGAUUGCGAAGGCAGCACACUAAUCCGUAACUGACGUUCAUGCUCGAAAGUGUGGGUAUCAAACAGGAUUAGAUACCCUGGUAGUCCACACGGUAAACGAUGGAUACUCGCUGUUGGCGAUAUACUGUCAGCGGCUUAGCGAAAGCGUUAAGUAUCCCACCUGGGGAGUACGCCGGCAACGGUGCAACUCAAAUGAAUUGACGGA